Molecule: ribosomal RNA, 493 nt
Filed under: uncultured bacterium
Lineage: Bacteria
Description: partial 16S ribosomal RNA
Rfam family: Bacterial small subunit ribosomal RNA
Source: RNAcentral
GACGAACGCUGGCGGCGUGCCUAACACAUGCAAGUUGAGCGACGAACCAGGGCUUGCCCUGGGGCAAAGCAGCGAACGGGUGAGUAACACGUGGGUAACCUACCCCGAUAACUGGGACAACCCGAGGAAACUCGGGCUAAUACCGGAUGUGCUCACUGGACUUCGGUUCAGUGCGUAAAGGAAGCUUCGGCCUCCGUAUCGGGAGGGGCCCGCGGCCCAUUGGUUUGUUGGUGAGGUAACGGCUCACCAAGACCGCGAUGGGUAGCUGGUCUGAGAGGACGAUCAGCCACACUGGGACUGAGACACGGCCCAGACUCCUACGGGAGGCAGCAGUGGGGAAUCUUGCGCAAUGCGCGAAAGCGUGACGCAGCAACGCCGCGUGGGGGAAGAAGGCCUUCGGGUUGUAAACCCCUUUCAGGAGGGACGAAGGUUCGGCGGUGAAUAGCCGUCCGGACUGACGGUACCUCCACAAGAAGCCCCGGCUAACUACGUG